AAAAAAAAAAGGAAAAAAAGGGCGAAGAGCGAAGAAAAAAAAGUCUCGGGAGCCCGAGCGGCUUUUUCCCCCCCGGCCGCCUCCUUUUUCGGUUGAAUCUGAACGGGAGCAGCUGUUCGCCCUAGCCGGAAAGGAGGUGUCAAAACCUGUUGCAUGGACUUAGAUCUGAGAAAGUCGCUUCUUAGCACCCUAAAAUAUCUCCCUCUCGGCCGUGCCUCGACCGUCUCCUUGCAGACAGCAGCCUGUAUGGGAGGCUGCAGGCCCUCACCGGUCCCGUUCAAGACAGGAAUCGAUUCACCCGAACUCCUGCCCUUCAUCUUUCCGCAAGCCCCUACGACCCUCGGCCGCUCCCUUCAUCCGUUCUACCGGGUCGACAAUGCCGCUCGCUGGGCUGGGGACAACCCCUCCGCCGGAGAGCCGUGAGGCAGCGGGAUGGCUACCCACCGCCCUUCACCCACUCGCACAAGGCUGAGGACACCCACGCUUCUGGCGGCCGGCCUCCGGUCCCCGCGUGGGAAGGGCAGGGAGACGGAGGCUCUCCCGGGGGCGCUUUUAUCGGCAGGAGUAGCGAACAAAUGAUAACCCCUGCAAUCUUCACACGCCAGAAAGAAACACAUCUUC
Molecule: long non-coding RNA, 621 nt
Organism: Chroicocephalus ridibundus (black-headed gull)
Lineage: Eukaryota; Metazoa; Chordata; Aves; Charadriiformes; Laridae
Exons: 3
Source: RefSeq, a predicted model, not a curated record